CACACAAACACCAACGCUGCCUCGAGGCCAAAGAAAAAACAAUCCUCCAUUCCUUUCUCCUUUUGAUCUCCUUGAAUUUAGGUCCAGGAGUGUGACCUAUGAGCAACAUAGUCAACGACAACGGUGGUAGUGGUAAUGGAAGAGGCGAACAUAACGGAGGGAGGCAGGUGGUGCCGCCGCUGCAGCUGAACUUAGGGCCUAUGGUGGCGGCGCCACCAGCAGUGGCAGUUGAGGAGGGCGAGGGCAGUGAUAUGAUCCUCUAUCAAUGCAACUCGUGCCCUAGGUUAUGUAUGCUGGAAAGGGGGGAAUUGGCCCGGUGCCUCCACUGCAACCAGCUUAGCCUCUUCAUCCGAAAUGCUUAAAUAAAUAAAAAGCGCGAUGGCGACCAGUCCCUGAGCAAAUGAAUAAGAUUACUCAUGCGUCGCUGCCAUGCAUGGAUGUUCCGUGUUGGCGCCGGUUGCGGGACUGGUGACAAUUGUUGGGUCAUCUUCUUAGACAAUGAACCUUAUUUGUAUUGCCUUUUUAUGGUUCAUGCAUUAAUGUUGUGUAGAUUAGCAUCUUUGUUGGUUAGUGGUUAUCAUCAUGUUGUGUUCUCCUUAAUUGUAAACCUCCUGGUUGAGGAGGCGGUGGCAAUAAUUGUGAACAAAUUCAUUUUUAUUU
Long non-coding RNA from Brachypodium distachyon (stiff brome), 660 nucleotides. RefSeq lists it as uncharacterized. The transcript is spliced from 2 exons. The record is from RefSeq and is a predicted model, not a curated record. Lineage: Eukaryota; Viridiplantae; Streptophyta; Magnoliopsida; Poales; Poaceae.